RNAcentral lists this ribosomal RNA (558 nucleotides) under uncultured bacterium. Its description in RNAcentral is "bacterial SSU rRNA". It matches the Rfam family "Bacterial small subunit ribosomal RNA", at positions 355 to 896 of the family's 1533-position model. The record is from RNAcentral.
UGGGGAAUAUUGGACAAUGGGCGAAAGCCCUGAUCCCAGCCAUGCCGCGUGUGUGAAGAAGGUCUUCGGAUUGUAAAAGCACUUUAAAGUUGGGAGGAAGGNCCAGUAAGUUUAAUACCUUGCUGUUUUGACGUUUCCAACCAGAAUAAAGCCCCCGGCCUAACUUUCGUGNCAGCAGCCGCGGUAAUUCGAAGGGGGCAAGCGUUAAUCGGAAUUACUGGGCGUAAAGCGCGCGUAGGUGGUUCAGCAAGUUGGAUGUGGAAUCCCCGGGCUCAACCUUGGAACCUCAUCCAAAACUACUGAACUAGAGUACGGUAGAGGGUGGUGGAAUUUCCUGUGUAGCGGUGAAAUGCGUAGAUAUAGGAAGGAACACCAGUGGCGAAGGCGACCACCUGGACUGAUNCUGACACUGAGGUNCGAAAGCGUGGGGAGCAAACAGGAUUAGAUACCCUGGUAGUCCCCGCGUAAACGAUGUCGACUAGNCGUUGGGAUCCNUGAGAUCUUAGUGCGCAGCUAACGCGAUAAGUCGACCGCCUGGGGAGUACGGCCGCAAGGUUA